RNAcentral lists this unclassified non-coding RNA (710 nucleotides) under Tetrastigma planicaule. RNAcentral describes it as "partial contains small subunit ribosomal RNA, internal transcribed spacer 1, 5.8S ribosomal RNA, and internal transcribed spacer 2". The stretch from base 323 to 478 matches the Rfam family "5.8S ribosomal RNA". The record is from RNAcentral. Lineage: Eukaryota; Viridiplantae; Streptophyta; Magnoliopsida; Vitales; Vitaceae.
UUUCCGUAGGUGAACCUGCGGAAGGAUCAUUGUCGAACCUAUCGAUCGAACGACCCGUGAACACGUUGUUUAACAGCCUUUCGAGGGCAGAGCGGGCGUGAGCCCUCCACUCUUGCACUCGAUGGAUCGGUGGGCCUCGCGAGCCUCGCCCUUCGUCGUACGCCCGGCGCAUGCGCACGGGGGCGUCUCGCGGGGGACCUUAUCGAUCCGACAACGAACCCCCCGGCGUGGAAAACGCCAAGGAAAACGCAACGAAACAACGCCGUCCCGUCGGCCCGGUCACGGGCGCGCGGGAAGGCGUGGUCGUUUAACUCACAAAAACGACUCUCGGCAACGGAUAUCUAGGCUCUCGCAUCGAUGAAGAACGUAGCAAAAUGCGAUACUUGGUGUGAAUUGCAGAAUCCCGUGAAUCAUCGAGUCUUUGAACGCAAGUUGCGCCCGACGCCAUUAGGUCGAGGGCACGCCUGCCUGGGCGUCACGCGCACGUCGCCCCCUCCACCCCUGCCAGGUCAGGGGCUCGGGGCCGGGGCGGACAUUGGCCUCCCAUGGAACAUCGCGUCCGUGGUUGGUUAAAAAGCGGUCCCGCGGCGAUGCACGCCACGACAAGCGGUGGUUUGAAACGAACCCCUGAUCCGUGUCGUGCGCGGCGCUUCGCGUAACGGGGGCACCACGAAAGGCCCGAGAACCUCGAUCGCGACCCCAGGUCAGGC